This is a small nucleolar RNA of Psammomys obesus (fat sand rat), 135 nucleotides long. RefSeq annotates it as U8 small nucleolar RNA. NCBI's taxonomy places the organism in Eukaryota, Metazoa, Chordata, Mammalia, Rodentia, Muridae. The record is from RefSeq and is a predicted model, not a curated record. The transcript has a single exon.
AUGUCACAUGGGGCAGUCUUCAUGUAUCCCUCCUUUGGGAAGGCAGGUUAGGGCAUGAUGGUUAGAGCUGCCACGAUCCUUGACUAUGACUCUGUCUAAUCAGGACUUGGGACACCCUAAUCUCUCUUACCAGUU